Molecule: ribosomal RNA, 1134 nt
Filed under: Escherichia coli
Lineage: Bacteria; Pseudomonadati; Pseudomonadota; Gammaproteobacteria; Enterobacterales; Enterobacteriaceae
Description: partial 23S ribosomal RNA
Rfam family: Bacterial large subunit ribosomal RNA
Source: RNAcentral
AAUGGGUCAGCGACUUAUAUUCUGUAGCAAGGUUAACCGAAUAGGGGAGCCGAAGGGAAACCGAGUCUUAACUGGGCGUUAAGUUGCAGGGUAUAGACCCGAAACCCGGUGAUCUAGCCAUGGGCAGGUUGAAGGUUGGGUAACACUAACUGGAGGACCGAACCGACUAAUGUUGAAAAAUUAGCGGAUGACUUGUGGCUGGGGGUGAAAGGCCAAUCAAACCGGGAGAUAGCUGGUUCUCCCCGAAAGCUAUUUAGGUAGCGCCUCGUGAAUUCAUCUCCGGGGGUAGAGCACUGUUUCGGCAAGGGGGUCAUCCCGACUUACCAACCCGAUGCAAACUGCGAAUACCGGAGAAUGUUAUCACGGGAGACACACGGCGGGUGCUAACGUCCGUCGUGAAGAGGGAAACAACCCAGACCGCCAGCUAAGGUCCCAAAGUCAUGGUUAAGUGGGAAACGAUGUGGGAAGGCCCAGACAGCCAGGAUGUUGGCUUAGAAGCAGCCAUCAUUUAAAGAAAGCGUAAUAGCUCACUGGUCGAGUCGGCCUGCGCGGAAGAUGUAACGGGGCUAAACCAUGCACCGAAGCUGCGGCAGCGACACUAUGUGUUGUUGGGUAGGGGAGCGUUCUGUAAGCCUGUGAAGGUGGCCUGUGAGGGUGGCUGGAGGUAUCAGAAGUGCGAAUGCUGACAUAAGUAACGAUAAAGCGGGUGAAAAGCCCGCUCGCCGGAAGACCAAGGGUUCCUGUCCAACGUUAAUCGGGGCAGGGUGAGUCGACCCCUAAGGCGAGGCCGAAAGGCGUAGUCGAUGGGAAACAGGUUAAUAUUCCUGUACUUGGUGUUACUGCGAAGGGGGGACGGAGAAGGCUAUGUUGGCCGGGCGACGGUUGUCCCGGUUUAAGCGUGUAGGCUGGUUUUCCAGGCAAAUCCGGAAAAUCAAGGCUGAGGCGUGAUGACGAGGCACUACGGUGCUGAAGCAACAAAUGCCCUGCUUCCAGGAAAAGCCUCUAAGCAUCAGGUAACAUCAAAUCGUACCCCAAACCGACACAGGUGGUCAGGUAGAGAAUACCAAGGCGCUUGAGAGAACUCGGGUGAAGGAACUAGGCAAAAUGGUGCCGUAACUUCGGGAGAAGGCACGC